GACGAACGCUGGCGGCGUGCUUAACACAUGCAAGUCGAACGGAAAGGCCCUGCUUGCAGGGUACUCGAGUGGCGAACGGGUGAGUAACACGUGGGUGAUCUGCCCUGCACUUCGGGAUAAGCCUGGGAAACUGGGUCUAAUACCGGAUAGGAGCCAUUUUUAGUGUGAUGGUUGGAAAGUUUUUUUCGGUGUAGGAUGAGCUCGCGGCCUAUCAGCUUGUUGGUGGGGUAAUGGCCUACCAAGGCGGCGACGGGUAGCCGGCCUGAGAGGGUGGACGGCCACAUUGGGACUGAGAUACGGCCCAGACUCCUACGGGAGGCAGCAGUGGGGAAGAUUGCACAAUGGGCGCAAGCCUGAUGCAGCGACGCCGCGUGGGGGAUGACGGCCUUCGGGUUGUAAACUCCUUUCGCUAGGGACGAAGCUUUUUGUGACGGUACCCAGAUAAGAAGCACCGGCUAACUACGUG
This 466-nucleotide ribosomal RNA is filed under the name uncultured bacterium. RNAcentral describes it as "partial 16S ribosomal RNA". It matches the Rfam family "Bacterial small subunit ribosomal RNA", at positions 28 to 507 of the family's 1533-position model. The record is from RNAcentral.